GGCUAAAUACUCCUGACUGACCGAUAGUGAACCAGUACCGUGAGGGAAAGGCGAAAAGAACCCCGGCGAGGGGAGUGAAAAAGAACCUGAAACCGUGUACGUACAAGCAGUGGGAGCACGCUUAGGCGUGUGACUGCGUACCUUUUGUAUAAUGGGUCAGCGACUUAUAUUCUGUAGCAAGGUUAACCGAAUAGGGGAGCCGAAGGGAAACCGAGUCUUAACUGGGCGUUAAGUUGCAGGGUAUAGACCCGAAACCCGGUGAUCUAGCCAUGGGCAGGUUGAAGGUUGGGUAACACUAACUGGAGGACCGAACCGACUAAUGUUGAAAAAUUAGCGGAUGACUUGUGGCUGGGGGUGAAAGGCCAAUCAAACCGGGAGAUAGCUGGUUCUCCCCGAAAGCUAUUUAGGUAGCGCCUCGUGAAUUCAUCUCCGGGGGUAGAGCACUGUUUCGGCAAGGGGGUCAUCCCGACUUACCAACCCGAUGCAAACUGCGAAUACCGGAGAAUGUUAUCACGGGAGACACACGGCGGGUGCUAACGUCCGUCGUGAAGAGGGAAACAACCCAGACCGCCAGCUAAGGUCCCAAAGUCAUGGUUAAGUGGGAAACGAUGUGGGAAGGCCCAGACAGCCAGGAUGUUGGCUUAGAAGCAGCCAUCAUUUAAAGAAAGCGUAAUAGCUCACUGGUCGAGUCGGCCUGCGCGGAAGAUGUAACGGGGCUAAACCAUGCACCGAAGCUGCGGCAGCGACGCUUAUGCGUUGUUGGGUA
RNAcentral lists this ribosomal RNA (766 nucleotides) under Escherichia coli. Its description in RNAcentral is "partial 23S ribosomal RNA". It matches the Rfam family "Bacterial large subunit ribosomal RNA", at positions 464 to 1230 of the family's 2925-position model. Lineage: Bacteria; Pseudomonadati; Pseudomonadota; Gammaproteobacteria; Enterobacterales; Enterobacteriaceae. The record is from RNAcentral.